CAUACUUGUUAUACAAAUGUAUCCCCAUCAGUUCAAGUAGAUGAUCCUCAACUUAUAUGGUCUCAAUCUGUUGCUGGCCUACAUGACUCGGACAAUAAAGAGUCAAUACUCUAGUAUUAGAUCCAUCAUGUUGCUGUUGUUAUUGCUUCUGUUCCAAUUACUAAAUUCAUCCAUUUGAAUAUCAGAUUUGAAAGGCAAAAUUUUCCCCUUUUCUUCUCUGGUGCAACACCUUUGGUUGGAGUGUUGCUUUAUGCUCAGUGCUACGGUGGACAUCAAUUUGGUAUAUGGGUUGGCCAGUUGGGUGAUGGUAGGGUAAUUACGCUUGGGGCGAUACUCAAUUCUAAGUCUGAAAGGUGGGAACUGCGGCUUAAAGGUGAUGGGAAGACUCCUUACAGCCGCUUUGCCGAUGCCUUGCAGUGCUCCAUAGCAGCAUCAGGGAAUUCCUUUGCAGUGAAGCGAUGCAUCACCUGGGGAUACCGACAACCCGUGCUCUUUGUCUUGUGAACACUGGAAAGUUGGUCACUCGAGACAUGUUCUACAAUGUCGGCGCAGAAAUGCUCCAGUUUCAAAGCAUAGAACCCUUCUUCUAUCGGGGCUAGACACAGGAAUCUGAGAGGCACAAAAUAAAUCUUUAGAAGUUCCCUCGAUCUAAACAUCAACCACAAUGGAUUUCUAAUUUGUUGUAGAGGUUUGCAAGCAUUAGAACUAAGUUUUAGAAUAUACUAUUCCUCUGUCCAUUAUUUAUAUAAGCUAUAUUCUAAUUUGUAUCGACUGUUUGUGUCAUUGAUUCUGAGUGAUAUUACCCAACAAAUAAUCAUCCUAAUCUUUUUUGUAUUAUGCAUCAAUGAAAUGGGCCUCACCAUAAAU
Molecule: long non-coding RNA, 867 nt
Organism: Trifolium pratense (red clover)
Lineage: Eukaryota; Viridiplantae; Streptophyta; Magnoliopsida; Fabales; Fabaceae
Exons: 4
Source: RefSeq, a predicted model, not a curated record